RNAcentral lists this ribosomal RNA (634 nucleotides) under Pseudodoryctes sp. Jo679. RNAcentral's name for it is "eukaryotic LSU rRNA". It matches the Rfam family "Eukaryotic large subunit ribosomal RNA", at positions 386 to 798 of the family's 3401-position model. Lineage: Eukaryota; Metazoa; Arthropoda; Insecta; Hymenoptera; Braconidae. The record is from RNAcentral.
CCUGAGAAACCCAAAAGAUCGAAUGGGGAGAUUCAUCGUCAGCUCGUUUUGUAUAUAUGUAAGUUAUGAUGUGGGUUACUACUUGUAGUAUUGCCUACACGUGCUUGUAUAUUUAGUUGCAAAAUGUUGUCGGCGUGCACUUCUCCCCUAGUAGAACGUCGCGACCCGUUGGGUGUUGGUCUACGGGCCAAUUGGAUGCCUUUAAUGUUUAAUUACAUUAAAGACCAUUGGUUUUACCUGACCAGCUGCCCGGCGGUACUCGUACGGUAUUAAGCCGCAAUUUUAAUAUUGUUGCGUCCAAUCCGUCGCAAGCGAGGCCAGUUUACGGUAGUACGGGCUUAGUACCGUCGCUGUGUCUGACCAGCUGUUGGUUGUUACGGUAUUCUAGGACUGGCUAAAAUUUAAUUACCGGUCGGCGAUGCUACUGCUUUGGGUACUUUCAGGACCCGUCUUGAAACACGGACCAAGGAGUCUAACAUGUACGCAAGUCAUUGGGAUUAUUUUUAAAAAAACCUAAAGGCGUAAUGAAAGUAAAGGUCGUCCUUGUGUCGACUGAGGGAGGAUGGGCUGUAUUAAGAUAUAGCCUCGCACUCCCGGGGCGUCUCAUUCUCAUUGUGAGAAGAGGCGCACCCAG